RNAcentral lists this microRNA precursor (61 nucleotides) under Canis lupus familiaris (dog). RNAcentral describes it as "Cfa-Mir-430-P4_pre stem-loop". It matches the Rfam family "mir-302 microRNA precursor family", at positions 6 to 63 of the family's 68-position model. Lineage: Eukaryota; Metazoa; Chordata; Mammalia; Carnivora; Canidae. The record is from RNAcentral.
ACUUUAACAUGGAGGCACUUGCUGUGACAUGAUAAAAAUAAGUGCUUCCAUGUUUUAGUGU